UACGAAGGGGGCUGGCGUUGUUCGGAAUUACUGGGCGUAAAGCGUGCGCAGGCGGCUUCUCAAGUCAGGGGUGAAAGCCCAGAGCUCAACUCUGGAAUUGCCUUUGAGACUGAGAGGCUUGAGUACGGGAGAGGUGAGUGGAAUUCCCAGUGUAGAGGUGAAAUUCGUAGAUAUUGGGAAGAACACCAGUGGCGAAGGCGGCUCACUGGACCGUAACUGACGCUCAUGCACGACAGCGUGGGGAUCAAACAGG
Molecule: ribosomal RNA, 253 nt
Filed under: uncultured bacterium
Lineage: Bacteria
Description: partial 16S ribosomal RNA
Rfam family: Bacterial small subunit ribosomal RNA
Source: RNAcentral